RNAcentral lists this ribosomal RNA (450 nucleotides) under Triticum aestivum (bread wheat). RNAcentral's name for it is "partial small subunit ribosomal RNA". The record is from RNAcentral. Lineage: Eukaryota; Viridiplantae; Streptophyta; Magnoliopsida; Poales; Poaceae.
AUGAAUCUCUUCUUUGUUUCUUCAUCUCCUCUUAUUCUGAUUCCUGCGUUUGUUUUAUGUGAAGGUUGCUCCGAUGAGGACAAGCUGCUUCUGCAGGUGGACGGGCCCUCAAGGCUGCUCUGCCUAUUCCUCAUGCUACCCCCACACGUGCGAACACAAAGCCGUCGAUGCAUUGAGGGCUCAAUGUCGUCUCCGUCGGCUGAGCGGCAAGCCGGGGUUGGGCCUGCACACCGUCUAUUAGCACCCUCCCGCGUCUCCAUUCACGGAUCUGCAGGUCAACCCCUCUCCUCCUCCUAUCCAUGCAUCUUCUUUUCCAGAGCUAGGUGUAUGGUUGCAUGGCAAUUUGUGUUUUGGGGCUCACCAUGUUCUGCUUGCCUUGGUUGGCCAAUGAGGCUUUCCUUUUCUGGUAAAGGCCAAAUGUACUAUUCUCUAUGCUUUAUAUUUUUGUAG